GAUGAAGAACGUAGCGAAAUGCGAUAAGUAAUGUGAAUUGCAGAAUUCAGUGAAUCAUCGAAUCUUUGAACGCACAUUGCGCCCGCCAGUAUUCUGGCGGGCAUGCCUGUUCGAGCGUCAUUACAACCCUCAGGCCCCCGGGCCUGGCGUUGGGGAUCGGCGGAGCCCCCCGUGGGCACACGCCGUCCCCCAAAUGCAGUGGCGGUCCCGCCGCAGCUUCCAUCGCGUAGUAGCUAACACCUCGCGACUGGAGAGCGGCGCGGCCACGCCGUAAAACACCCAACUCUUCUGAAGUUGACCUCGAAUCAGGUAGGAAUACCCGCUGAACUUAAGCAUAUCAUAAGCGGAGG
This 350-nucleotide unclassified non-coding RNA is filed under the name soil metagenome. Its description in RNAcentral is "partial contains 5.8S ribosomal RNA, internal transcribed spacer 2, and large subunit ribosomal RNA". The stretch from base 1 to 120 matches the Rfam family "5.8S ribosomal RNA", at positions 35 to 154 of the family's 154-position model. The record is from RNAcentral.